Molecule: ribosomal RNA, 497 nt
Filed under: uncultured bacterium
Lineage: Bacteria
Description: partial 16S ribosomal RNA
Rfam family: Bacterial small subunit ribosomal RNA
Source: RNAcentral
GAUGAACGCUGGCGGCGUGCCUAAUACAUGCAAGUCGAGCGAACGGACGAGAAGCUUGCUUCUCUGAUGUUAGCGGCGGACGGGUGAGUAACACGUGGAUAACCUACCUAUAAGACUGGGAUAACUUCGGGAAACCGGAGCUAAUACCGGAUGAUAUUUUGAACCGCAUGGUUCAAAAGUGAAAGACGGUCUUGCUGUCACUUAUAGAUGGAUCCGCGCUGCAUUAGCUAGUUGGUAAGGUAACGGCUUACCAAGGAAACGAUGCAUAGCCGACCUGAGAGGGCGAUCGGCCACACUGGAACUGAGACACGGUCCAGACUCCUACGGGAGGCAGCAGUAGGGAAUCUUCCGCAAUGGGCGAAAGCCUGACGGAGCAACGCCGCGUGAGAGAUGAAGGUCUUCGGAUCGUAAAACUCUGUUAUUAGGGAAGAACAUAUGUGUAAGUAACUGUGCACAUCUUGACGGUACCUAAUCAGAAAGCCACGGCUAACUACGUG